This 2634-nucleotide long non-coding RNA is filed under the name Oryza brachyantha (malo sina). RNAcentral's name for it is "long non-coding RNA (OBRA_LNC001260)". Lineage: Eukaryota; Viridiplantae; Streptophyta; Magnoliopsida; Poales; Poaceae. The record is from RNAcentral.
UUUUAUUUUCUCGUCCUUCAUUGAAAUAGAAAUGGCUAUUUCUGUAUUUUCUCAUGUGUAUAUAAUCAUCUGCACUGAGGAUAUCUGUCACUCGACACAUUGUUCUCGACGAUUACAAUUAGAAAUGCAAAACAUGAGGCAAAGAGGCAGGUGUACGUACUCAAGUAACAGAAUUUUUCAUCAUCAUCGUGGUGGUAUAUUACAAUCAGCUGGGAGCAACCGGCCAAUUACGUCUCCGGCCAUGGUUGCUAAUUAACCCCAGUAGAGAAGAUCCAUCGCUCCGAUCGAGCUACUACUACACUGAUGGCCUAGCUAAUUGGGACCCCAGCAGCUGAGGUACAUGACCGUCCUCAGCCCCUCCUCGGCCUUCUCCGCUCGCCUCCGCUCCGCCGCCGCCGCCGCCGAAGAAGGCAGCUUCUUGGCCUGCGAGGCGCCGGCGCGCGCGUUGGCCUUGGCGGCGCGGUGGAUGGACCGCAGCGCGUAGUUCCAGCGGCAGAGCCCCGCCUGGUCCUUGAGCGCCUCCACCGCGCCCACGCUCAUCGCCACCAUCCACGACGCCUUCGCUGCACCCGCCAUUGACGACACCGAUCGCUGGUGGUGUACUACCGAUCUGUGAAGCCUUCUUCGCUUUGCAGUGAGCUGAAUUGAUGCUGUGUUGGAUUGAGGAGAGGGUCGAGGGGGUGGAGCCGGGGCUUUAUACCGAGAGGGGCGGGGCGAAACAGGAGGCGCGCGCGCGUUGGUUUUUCCCGGGAUACCGGCGGUUCCACCGCGGCACUCGUCGCUUUCCGCUCGGGUUGGUGGCUCGCUCGGCCAGGGGUAUCACACGCGCGGCGCCCACCACGUCUCGUCCAGCUAAGCGAGAACCCGCCGGGCCUAGGAGGGGAGGAGGUGCUUUUGCUGCGUGCGGCUGGGCCAUGCCAUGCGUGCAGUGAUAGGAUAGGAUUGAACGAGUAGGACUGUACGAGUGGCCGAGUGGGUGAGAAGGAUGCGUGCCACUUGCAGGUGGGUCCCACGAAAGCAGUGGCUAGUCCUAAAACGAGGCGGGUUUACCGGGGUGGACGAGUUUGUCAGUUGAGAACUUUUUUUUUUCAUUUCAUUUCGUAUAUGAACAACUUAAUUUUUCGGUUUAAGCGCAUAGGUUAACAUCAUUGUCUUUUUCGUUUAUUAUUGUGUUUAUAAGCUAAAUUUUGAUUUUUUAACUUAAAUUUAAAAUUGAUUUUAUAGUUUUCAUCGUAGUUUACUUUUUAUUAUUAGUUUUUAAAAUCAUUAAGAACCUAUAUAUAAAAUUUAAUUUAUAGAUUAUUUUUUAUAAAUAUACCUUUUGAUAAUCACCCCGCUAAGGUCUGCCGAUUUAUCUUUUGCUAGUCUAGUAGUGCUGCUAAUUUAAGCCUGGGUCGUUUUUGAAGGCUGUAAUUUUUUGCGAGUGAUUGUAAUAUUGUAUCCCUUUCGUGCACUCACUCGGUGCUGCAAACUGUUAACCGCUGGGUCGAAUUGGGAUGCGUGUUGAGGUGUUUUGCUGGUGAGUGGUGACUGUGAGAGCGGAGUUAUGGGAGGUGGCAUGGAAAACCAGAGGCUCGAGGACAUGGUUUUCCAAUAUACCGGGUGCGAGACUGCCAGUGCGCGAACAGAGACAACAGCACUGGAGGACAUAUGUCACUCAAUCAGUGUCAUGGUCCGGGACUCUCCUGUCCUGUCUCCUCCAGCCUCCAACCCUCCGUAGCUCCAGGCUGUAUACUCCAGCCUCCAACCCUAUAGUUCAUGCUUGCGGCAAGGACGUUUGACGUUUAGAGUAUUUAUUAUAAAUUUUAAACGCAGAAUAUUUAUACCACUAAUGAUAUAAAUAAGAGCAAAUUCGUCGAUAAACUUUUAAGUCUAAUAAUUCGUGCGAUAAAUUUUUAAGUCUAAUUAAUCUAUAAUUAACUUAUAUUUACAGUAAUAUCAUAUAAGCUAAUUAAUUAGACUCAAUAGAUUCGUUUCUAAAUUAAUCUAAGAUUAUAGAUGGGUUUUAUUAAUAAUCUACGUUUAAUAUUACCAUAAGUGUCUAAACAUCCGCCGAUUUAAUAGGGACUAACCACCCAACACCACCUUAUACAUGAUUAACUGCGUCAAAGAACUUGUCAUCUAAUCAAUUUUAUUUGCCUUCGAUAUUCAGUAUAUAUCCACUUGGAUUUGGAUAUAGAGAUGGAUAGAAAUAACCAUCUCCAACAAAAAUAAAAAAAAUGCCUUCAAUAAUCUUUUCUUAGCACUCUCUCGUUAUAUUUCUGACAACUUUGGUGUUGAUCGCUUGAAAGCACCCAUAUCCCCAAGCUAACAUAGUAACAUGAAUGAUGAAUUUCAGAAAUGCAAAUGGAUCUAUGAGACAGACAAAUAUACUCAAGUAACAGAAGUUAUCAUCAUCAUCAUCAUCAUCGAGGUAUUUUACAAUCAGGAGGCAACCGGCCGAGUUCUCAGGCCAUGGCUGCUGCCGCAUACUCCUAAGCUAAUACUCCCAACAUCGAGCAGCAACAUACACUAAUUGGGACCCCAGCAGCUGAGGUACAUGACCGUCCUCAGCCCCUCCUCGGCGUUCUCCGCUCUCCUCCGCUCCGCCACCGCCGCCGCGGGCAGCUUCUUGCCCUGCGAUGCUCCGCCGGC